RNAcentral lists this long non-coding RNA (1001 nucleotides) under Chrysemys picta bellii (western painted turtle). Its description in RNAcentral is "lncRNA (ENSCPBG00000000184.1)". Lineage: Eukaryota; Metazoa; Chordata; Testudines; Emydidae. The record is from RNAcentral.
UCUUAUUUAUCAGUGUUUGAUUUUGCAAAGGGACACAUUUCUGUUUAGCCAAAGUGAGCAGAGAUGCCUCGUACUUGUGUGAACAGUACAGAUAACUUCUGCUAUGUUUGUGGUAAAGUGACUUCUGCAUCACAAAAGCGCAGUAUAACCACUAUGGUUAAGAAAGCCUAUCACCUUUAUUUUGGCUGUAAAAGUGGAGAUCAGGACAAGAGGUGGGCCCCACACAUAUGCUGCAACAUUGUGCAACAAAUCUUCGCCAGUGGUUGAACAGGAAAAGGAAAUCUAUGCCUUUUGCAGUGCCAAUGAUUUGGAGAGAGCCAACAGAUCAUACCAGCAGUUGUUACUUCUGCAUGGUGUCUCCAGUUGGGAAAGGUGUGUCAAAGAAGAAAAGGUGGACUGUGCAUUAUCCAAACAUUCCAUCCGCUAUACGCCCAGUACCCCAAGGAGAAGGACUGCCGGUUCCUGAUGCACCAGAAUCAUUCUCACUUGAGUCAGACGAGGAAGAGGAAGAGGAUGAAACAUCUGGUCCUGAACCAUCAAUGUCUCAGGACCCACAUUUUCUCCCAUCCUCCUCCUCUGAACCACACCUCAUAACACAAGGUGAACUGAAUGACCUUGUCAGGGAUUUGGAACUACCCAAGAGUAAGGCAGAGCUGUUGGGCUCCAGACUACAGCAGUGGAAUCUCCUGGCAGGUGAUGUUAGGGUUUCCAUGUUCCGUGACCGUCAAAAGGAUCUUGUCCCAUUCUUCUUCAUGGAAGGUGAUCUUGUAGCCUGCAACAACAUCCAUGGUGUGAUGGCAGCCCUCAACAUGGUUCACGAUCCAGAUGAGUGGAGACUGUUCAUUGAUUCAUCAAAGACAAGUCUUAAAGCUGUUUUACUGCAUAAUGGCAAUGUUUUGCCAUCAAUUCCAGUUGGUCAUGCAGUCCAUAUGAAGGAAACCUAUGACAACAGGAAACAACUUUUGAGGUGCAUGACCAACAUCAGUGGCAGCUUUGUGGCG